This 29-nucleotide small RNA is filed under the name Bombyx mori (domestic silkworm). RNAcentral describes it as "piRNA piR-bmo-1311273". The record is from RNAcentral. Lineage: Eukaryota; Metazoa; Arthropoda; Insecta; Lepidoptera; Bombycidae.
UGCUUUGAAGAUCUUGUGAUCGCCGUCGA